This 422-nucleotide RNase P RNA is filed under the name Lautropia sp. RNAcentral's name for it is "RNase P RNA component class A". It matches the Rfam family "Bacterial RNase P class A". From Rfam's summary of the family: Ribonuclease P (RNase P) is a ubiquitous endoribonuclease, found in archaea, bacteria and eukarya as well as chloroplasts and mitochondria. Its best characterised activity is the generation of mature 5'-ends of tRNAs by cleaving the 5'-leader elements of precursor-tRNAs. Lineage: Bacteria; Pseudomonadati; Pseudomonadota; Betaproteobacteria; Burkholderiales; Burkholderiaceae. The record is from RNAcentral.
GGAGCGGGUCGGAUGAUCGCCGAGGCGCAAGCCUUGGAGGAAAGUCCGGACUCCAUCGGGCAGGAUGCUGGCUAACGGCCAGGCGCGAUAAGGCGUGUUUGGUGGGGGGUGCCCCACUCGGCCGCCGAAGGCGACGGACAGUGGCACAGAAAACAAACCGCCUCGGCCGGCGACAGCGGGUCGGGGUAAGGGUGAAAAGGUGGGGUAAAAGCCCACCGCGCGGCUGGUGACAGACGUGGCAGGCCAAACCCCAUCCGGAGCAACAUCAUGUAGGCACGCGACGCGGCCCAGGGCCGCACAGGGCGCCCGCCCGAGCGUGCGGGUGGAUGGCUAGAGCCGGUCGGUAACGGCCGGCCCAGAGGAAUGAUCAUCGCGUCCCCUUUCGGGGCGGACAGAAUCCGGCUUACAGACCCGCUCCCUUC